UUGACCUCGGAUCAGGUAGGGAUACCCGCUGAACUUAAGCAUAUCAAUAAGCGGAGGAAAAGAAACCAACCGGGAUUACCUCAGUAACGGCGAGUGAAGCGGUACAAGCUCAAAUUUGAAAUCUGGCGCCCUCGGCGUCCGAGUUGUAAUUUGUAGACGAUGCUUUGGGCUGGGGCCCGGCCUAAGUUCCUUGGAACAGGACGUCAUAGAGGGUGAGAAUCCCGUAUGUGGCAGGUGCCCCCCGCCCGUGUAAAGCUCGUUCGACGAGUCGAGUUGUUUGGGAAUGCAGCUCAAAAUGGGAGGUAAAUUUCUUCUAAAGCUAAAUACUGGCCAGAGACCGAUAGCGCACAAGUAGAGUGAUCGAAAGAUGAAAAGCACUUUGGAAAGAGAGUUAAACAGUACGUGAAAUUGUUGAAAGGGAAGCGCUUGCAAUCAGACUUGGGGGCCGUGGAUCAUCCGGGCUUCGGGCCCGGUGCACUCGGCGGCCCACAGGCCAGCAUCGGUUUGGGUGGUUGGAGAAAGGCCCUAGGAACGUAGCUCCUCUCGGGGAGUGUUAUAGCCUAGAGCGCCAUGCAGCCUACCUGGACCGAGGACCGCGCUUCGGCUAGGAUGUUGGCGUAAUGAUUGUAAGCGACCCGUCUUGAAACACGGACCAAGGAGUCUAACAUCUAUGCGAGUGUUUGGGUGGCAAACCCAUGCGCGAAAUGAAAGUGAACGGAGGUGAGAACCCUGAAGGGUGCAUCAUCGACCGAUUCUGAUGUCU
RNAcentral lists this ribosomal RNA (763 nucleotides) under Parauncinula septata. RNAcentral describes it as "eukaryotic LSU rRNA". It matches the Rfam family "Eukaryotic large subunit ribosomal RNA", at positions 1 to 779 of the family's 3401-position model. The record is from RNAcentral. Lineage: Eukaryota; Fungi; Ascomycota; Leotiomycetes; Helotiales; Erysiphaceae.